Molecule: ribosomal RNA, 253 nt
Filed under: uncultured prokaryote
Description: partial 16S ribosomal RNA
Rfam family: Bacterial small subunit ribosomal RNA
Source: RNAcentral
ACAGAGGUGGCAAGCGUUGUUCGGAUUUAUUGGGCGUAAAGGGUCCGUAGGCGGUUUGGAAAGUCGGAUGUGAAAUCCCACAGCUUAACUGUGGAACUGCAUUCGAAACUUCCAGACUGGAGUGUGAGAGGGGUAAAGGGAAUUCCCGGUGUAAGGGUGAAAUCUGCAGAGAUCGGGAAGAACACCAGUCGCGAAGGCGCUUUACUGGCUCACAACUGACGCUGAGGGACGAAAGCUAGGGGAGCAAACGGGA